GAUGAACGCUGGCGGCGUGCCUUAUACAUGCAAGUCGAGCGAACAGGCGAGGAGCUUGCUCGUGGGGCGUGAGCGGCGGACGGGUGAUUAACACGUAGGUAACCUACCUAUAAGGCUAGGAUAGCUUCGGGAAACCGGAGCUAACACAGGACAAGAUUUCGAACCGCAUGGUUCGAUAGUGAAAGAUGGCUUUGCUCUCACUUAUAGAGGGACCUGCGCCGGAUUAGCGAGUGGGUAGGGUAACGGCUUACCAAGGCAACGAUGCGUAGCCGACCUGAGAGGACGAGCAGCCACACUGGGACUGAGACACGGCCCAGACUCCGACGGGAGGCAGCAGUGGGGAAUUUUGGACAAUGGGGGCAACCCUGAUCCAGCCAUGCCGCGUGCGGGAAGAAGGCCUUCGGGUUGUAAACCGCUUUUGUUCGGGAAGAAAUCCUCUGGGCUAAUACCACGGGGGGAUGACGGUACCGGAAGAAUAAGCACCGGCUAACUACGUG
This 497-nucleotide ribosomal RNA is filed under the name uncultured bacterium. Its description in RNAcentral is "partial 16S ribosomal RNA". It matches the Rfam family "Bacterial small subunit ribosomal RNA", at positions 28 to 507 of the family's 1533-position model. The record is from RNAcentral.